CUUGACCUUUGACUACGAGACCCUCCCCUUUUUUUGCAAAGAUAUUCAUUAAUUAUUUCUUUAAUGAUCUUUACCGUAUGCAACAAUUUGGUUUGGAGUUGUCUCUCCUGUCUUGUUCUAUGGCUGAAGUUGCUUCUACUGAGCAGCUCCCAGUGAAACUAGGUCAGGAAUACCGAGUCAAACUGGGCAAGAGCUUCACCUUCCCCAGGGAGAACGCCUAUCACACCAUCAAAUGGACGGACGCAAGUGAUGAUGAAUGCGUACGCUGACCUUGUGUUCCAGUUUAGAAUGGCUGACGAGAAAACCAAGCCGCUUACAUUUAUUCAAGGACCAACACGGCUGUGCAGUACAUCAAAGCUGAACGGUUUUACGAUGGCUUCAAGGUACACACACUAUACACAGCAUCAGAACUCUAGUCACAGAGGCAACUCUAGUACUCAGUACCUGUACAGGAACCAACUACUGAAGCCACUGACUAACUACAAUGUAUGUGCAUCACGUACCCCCUCUCGUCCACCAGGGUUCAGUACCUAGCAGUUAGUGAACAUUGUAGCCAGCUCUGUGCUUGUCUAAGCUAUUACUGAACGCAGCUGUUACGGUUUAUUCGGUGGCCAAUUCACAGAAGCUCAGCAUCCAAAAUCCAUUUCACAUUCUCAAAGUAGGUAUAACAUGUUUGUGCCGACUGUUGCAGAUUUUUGAUGCUCUGCUCAACGGAGAUCUGAUACCGUAUCCUACGUACUUGUACAACAUGACUGGAUCCACCAACUACUACAACAUUCAGGACCUCGCUAGGUACACGUAUGUUGAUAGAGUAUGUCAGAAAGUGUUGGAUAGAAGUAUACAGUCCUGUUUGGAGUGGUAUAUACUCUUUUUACCUAUACGUAGUGUACUGAACAUUCUACUGUAUUAUUUAUCUUAUGUUGGUACAUACUUAACCAGUGUUUGGUUAAAGGGCUCUUGUUUGAGUAGCUAAUUGAAUUUGGGAAUCUGUACAAGUUAAGUUGUGUGUAUGGAUUGAAUUUGGGGAAGUCCUGGACUAUACAAUUAUCUCUAUUGUGGUCAUGCACUGUGUUAGAGGACAUUGAGAAGCUGUGUGCAUGGCAAAUAAUGGCAAGAAAGAUUAGCAGUAAUACAUGCUGCCCCUCCCCCAAGCCAUAGUCUAGCCUGCCACCCUGUUUGAACUGUACACUGGGGGAAACACUGACUUAAGUAUUGUAGGGUGUUGUUGAAAUGUCAUGCCCUGGGGUGAUUGGUUUCUCCCUGUGUGUAUACUUGUGUAAGGAAACCAAUCUAUAGCUGUCACCCCUUGCAAGGGCAGACCAACAGUGGCUAUAAUAAAGAGGUGGUCUGGUUCAAACACAUGCUAUGGAGACUCUGAAGCUUGUUAACCUGGCUGUAUUGGAAAGGGUGCCUGAUUAUAGGCUGACCACAAUAGACAAGUUUCACUGCAUUUAAUUUAGUUACAGUAUAAGAACUGUAGAGGGCAAUUGCUGACAUUUUGGUCAUGCAAAUUGAUUAUUUAAGACAGUUCUUCACAUGCAAUAUUUCUUAUUCGUCCAGCCUAUUUUAACUACUACGUUCCCUUCAUCAACACCACUGACAUCAGACGAGCCAUUCACGUCGGCAGUCUCAGCUAUGGCUAUCACGCUGAGGUGGACAGAUUAAAGAUAGGAGAUGAUGUUGCCGGGUGUGUGAGGACAGUGAACAAGUUUAUGCAGGUGGUCGUGAGAGGGGGUGGGCACAUUUUCCCGUUUGAUCAGCCGGAGAGAGCACUCAACCUCAUCCAGAACUUUGUGAACAUGCAAUAGCCUAUUAUAAUUAUGUUGUCUGGAAAUGAUCAUGCUUCAAGUAUAAGGAUAAAAAUGAAAUCUAUAAUUAUAGUCGUGUCAUUAAAUU
This is a long non-coding RNA of Halichondria panicea, 1896 nucleotides long. RefSeq lists it as uncharacterized. The transcript has 3 exons. The record is from RefSeq and is a predicted model, not a curated record. Lineage: Eukaryota; Metazoa; Porifera; Demospongiae; Suberitida; Halichondriidae.